GACGAACGCUGGCGGCGUGCUUAACACAUGCAAGUCGAACGGAAAGGCCCUGCUUUUGUGGGGUGCUCGAGUGGCGAACGGGUGAGUAACACGUGAGUAACCUGCCCUUGACUUUGGGAUAACUUCAGGAAACUGGGGCUAAUACCGGAUAGGAGCUCCUGCUGCAUGGUGGGGGUUGGAAAGUUUCGGCGGUUGGGGAUGGACUCGCGGCUUAUCAGCUUGUUGGUGGGGUAGUGGCUUACCAAGGCUUUGACGGGUAGCCGGCCUGAGAGGGUGACCGGCCACAUUGGGACUGAGAUACGGCCCAGACUCCUACGGGAGGCAGCAGUGGGGAAUAUUGCGCAAUGGGCGGAAGCCUGAUGCAGCAACGCCGCGUGCGGGAUGACGGCCUUCGGGUUGUAAACCGCUUACGCCUGUGACGAAGCGUGAGUGACGGUAAUGGGUAAAGAAGCACCGGCUAACUACGUG
This 468-nucleotide ribosomal RNA is filed under the name uncultured bacterium. RNAcentral's name for it is "partial 16S ribosomal RNA". It matches the Rfam family "Bacterial small subunit ribosomal RNA", at positions 28 to 507 of the family's 1533-position model. The record is from RNAcentral.